UUGUCCGCCACCAGUCAAUCUCUCACAGAGGCCAUGGAGAAGGUGAAAUAGUUAAGAGUUCUUCGAGGUGUUGUCGGAAAGAGGUUGAAAAGAUUGAAUCUGGAGUCUCAUCCGCUAAAGAAGAGUACCGUAGAUGUUCUGAUAUUUUCUUGGAAAUUGUUGAUGACUUGGCCGACGUGGAUAUGAAGAAACACCACCAAGAGAAAACCCUUAAACACUAGGUAAA
Molecule: long non-coding RNA, 226 nt
Filed under: Nicotiana benthamiana
Lineage: Eukaryota; Viridiplantae; Streptophyta; Magnoliopsida; Solanales; Solanaceae
Description: long non-coding RNA (NBEN_LNC041187)
Source: RNAcentral